This 422-nucleotide ribosomal RNA is filed under the name uncultured bacterium. RNAcentral describes it as "bacterial SSU rRNA". It matches the Rfam family "Bacterial small subunit ribosomal RNA", at positions 33 to 500 of the family's 1533-position model. The record is from RNAcentral.
UACGCUGGCGGCACGCCUAACACAUGCAAGUCGAACGCAGUAGCAAUACUGAGUGGCAAACGGGUGAGUAUAAUGUGGGAAUCUGCCUUUUGGUUUGGAAUAACACGGGGAAACUUGUGCUAAUACCGAAUAAGCCCUUACGGGGAAAGUUUUAAUGCCGAAAGAUGAGCCCGCACUUGAUUAGCUAGUUGGUAAGGUAAAAGCUUACCAAGGCAACGAUCAAUAGCUGUUCUUAGAGGAAGACCAGCCACAUUGGGACUGAGACACGGCCCAGACUCCUACGGGAGGCAGCAGUGGGGAAUCUUGCACAAUGGGGGAAACCCUGAUGCAGCGAUGCCGCGUGAGUGAAGAAGGCCUUUGGGUUGUAAAACUCUUUCGUCGGGGAAGAAAAUGACUGUACCCGAAUAAGAAGGUCCGGCUAA